UCCUACGGGAGGCAGCAGUGGGGAAUAUUGGGCAAUGGGCGCAAGCCUGACCCAGCAACGCCGCGUGAAGGAAGAAGGCUUUCGGGUUGUAAACUUCUUUUAUUGAGGACGAAACAAAUGACGGUACUCAAUGAAUAAGCCACGGCUAACUACGUGCCAGCAGCCGCGGUAAUACGUAGGUGGCAAGCGUUAUCCGGAUUUACUGGGUGUAAAGGGCGCGUAGGCGGGAUGGCAAGUCAGAUGUGAAAUCCGGGGGCUCAACCCCUGAACUGCAUUUGAAACUGUCGUUCUUGAGUACUGGAGAG
This 305-nucleotide ribosomal RNA is filed under the name uncultured bacterium. RNAcentral describes it as "bacterial SSU rRNA". It matches the Rfam family "Bacterial small subunit ribosomal RNA", at positions 337 to 656 of the family's 1533-position model. The record is from RNAcentral.